This 376-nucleotide ribosomal RNA is filed under the name uncultured bacterium. RNAcentral describes it as "bacterial SSU rRNA". It matches the Rfam family "Bacterial small subunit ribosomal RNA", at positions 524 to 898 of the family's 1533-position model. The record is from RNAcentral.
UACGAAGGGUGCAAGCGUUACUCGGAAUUACUGGGCGUAAAGCGUGCGUAGGUGGUUUGUUAAGUCUGUCGUGAAAUCCCCGGGCUCAACCUGGGAAUGGCGAUGGAUACUGGCAAGCUAGAGUGAGGUAGAGGAGAGUGGAAUUCCCGGUGUAGCAGUGAAAUGCGUAGAGAUCGGGAGGAACAUCAGUUGCGAAGGCGGCUCUCUGGACCAUCACUGACACUGAGGCACGAAAGCGUGGGGAGCAAACAGGAUUAGAUACCCUGGUAGUCCACGCCCUAAACGAUGCGAACUGGACGUUGGGCUCAAUUAGGAGCUCAGUGUCGAAGCUAACGCGUUAAGUUCGCCGCCUGGGGAGUACGGUCGCAAGACUGAA